RNAcentral lists this ribosomal RNA (497 nucleotides) under uncultured bacterium. Its description in RNAcentral is "partial 16S ribosomal RNA". It matches the Rfam family "Bacterial small subunit ribosomal RNA", at positions 28 to 507 of the family's 1533-position model. The record is from RNAcentral.
GAUGAACGCUGGCGGCGUGCCUAAUACAUGCAAGUCGAGCGAACAGACGAGGAGCUUGCUCCUCUGACGUUAGCGGCGGACGGGUGAGUAACACGUGGAUAACCUACCUAUAAGACUGGGAUAACUUCGGGAAACCGGAGCUAAUACCGGAUAAUAUAUUUAACCGCAUGGUUCAAUAGUGAAAGACGGUUUUGCUGUCACUUAUAGAUGGAUCCGCGCCGCAUUAGCUAGUUGGUAAGGUAACGGCUUACCAAGGCAACGAUGCGUAGCCGACCUGAGAGGGUGAUCGGCCACACUGGAACUGAGACACGGUCCAGACGCCUACGGGAGGCAGCAGUAGGGAAUCUUCCGCAAUGGGCGAAAGCCUGACGGAGCAACGCCGCGUGAGUAAUGAAGGUCUUCGGAUCGUAAAACUCUGUUAUUAGGGAAGAACAAAUGUGUAAGUAACUAUGCACGUCGUGACGGUACCUAAUCAGAAAGCCACGGCUAACUACGUG